GACGAACGCUGGCGGCGUGCUUAACACAUGCAAGUCGAACGGAAAGGCCCUGCUUUUGUGGGGUGCUCGAGUGGCGAACGGGUGAGUAACACGUGAGUAACCUGCCCUUGACUUUGGGAUAACUUCAGGAAACUGGGGCUAAUACCGGAUAGGAUCUCCUGCUGCAUGGUGGGGGUUGGAAAUUUUAGGCGGUUGGGGAUGGACUUGCGGCUUAUGGGUUUGUUGGUUGGGUAGUGGCUUACCAAGGCUUUGACGGGUAGCCGGCCUGGGAGGGUGACCGGCGACAUGAGGACUGCGAUACGGACCAGUCGGCAAUGGUAGGCAGCAGUGGGAAACCUGGCCCAAUGGGAGGAAGUCUGUUGAAGAAACGUCGCGGGCGGAAUGACGGCCUGCGGGGUGAAAAACGCUUUCGCUUGUGACGAAGCGUUAGUGACGGUAAUGGGUAAAGAAGCACCGGCUAACUACGUG
RNAcentral lists this ribosomal RNA (468 nucleotides) under uncultured bacterium. Its description in RNAcentral is "partial 16S ribosomal RNA". It matches the Rfam family "Bacterial small subunit ribosomal RNA", at positions 28 to 507 of the family's 1533-position model. The record is from RNAcentral.